GGCCGGGUGGCUUAGCUGGACAUAGCGCCGCACUCAUAGGGUUUCGAGUUUCGGUGCGGCUUGCCCUUUGGAAGCCUCCGCCCACCCGAGAGGCACGCCGAGCCUUGAACCUGGGCUAUGCGGAGAUCGCGGGUUCGGAGCCCGCCCCGGCCA
This 153-nucleotide transfer RNA is filed under the name Halorubrum sp. J07HR59. Its description in RNAcentral is "tRNA-Met". RNAcentral also lists the same sequence under 1 other name. The record is from RNAcentral. Lineage: Archaea; Methanobacteriati; Methanobacteriota; Halobacteria; Halobacteriales; Haloferacaceae.